GGCAUAAUUUUAAAGCUGUUUUUACCCGAGUGCGCAUUAGGGGAACCAACCUUGGAGAGCUGAGCAUGCC
Callithrix jacchus (white-tufted-ear marmoset) is the source of this 70-nucleotide small nucleolar RNA. The record is from Ensembl. Lineage: Eukaryota; Metazoa; Chordata; Mammalia; Primates; Cebidae.